AGGUGAACCGGAGUGGUGAGCGUAGCCAUGAAGGGAAGCCCCGGUGAACGGCGGCCGUAACUAUAACGGUCCUAAGGUAGCGAAAUUCCUUGUCGGGUAAGUUCCGACCCGCACGAAGGGAGUAACGACUUGAGCACUGUCUCGACAGGGGGCUCGGCGAAAUUGAAGUACCCGUGAAGAUACGGGUUACCCACGACAGGACAAAAAGACCCCGUGGAGCUUUACUACACCUUGGCCUGGAAACGAGGCGAUGGCUACGUAGCAUAGGUGGGAGCCAGAGAACCCCUCCUCGCGGGGAGGGGGGAGGCAACGGUGAAAUACCACUUUGCCAUGGUUUCUUUUCUCAUGCCUGACCGUGAUCCGGCAGGCAGACAGGGCCAGGCGGGUAGUUUGACUGGGGCGGUCGCCUCCUAAAAAGUAACGGAGGCGCUCAAAGGUUCUCUCAGGGUGGAUGGACAUCACCCAUAUAGAGUGUAAAGGCACAAGAGAGCUUGACUGCGAGGCGGACAGGCCGAGCAGGGACGCAAGUCGGACUUAGUGAUCCCACAUUCCCGUGUGGAAGGAGUGUGGCUCAACGGAUAAAAGCUACCCCGGGGAUAACAGGCUUAUCUUGCCCAAGAGUUCACAUCGACGGCAAGGUUUGGCACCUCGAUGUCGGCUCGUCGCAUCCUGGGGCUGGAGUCGGUCCCAAGGGUUGGGCUGUUCGCCCAUGAAAGCGGCACGCGAGCUGGGUUCAGAACGUCGCGAGACAGUUCGGUCUCUAUCCGUCGUGGGCGUAGGAAGAUUGCGAGCCGUCAUCUCCAGUACGAGAGGACCGAGAUGGCUCGACCGCUGGUGAGCCAGUUGCUCUGCCCGGAGCACGGCUGGAUAGCUAUGUCGAGAAAGGAUAAGCGCUGAAGGCAUCUAAGCGCGAAGCCGCCCUCCAGAUGAGUCUUCCCACUUGUGCGCAAGUGAAGAUCCCGGGUAGACCACCCGGUGGAUAGACCACGCAUGCACGCCUGGUAACAGGUGCAGUUAAGUGGCCCUAAUGAUCGAACGGCUUGUC
This 1045-nucleotide ribosomal RNA is filed under the name Chloroflexota bacterium. RNAcentral's name for it is "Chloroflexi bacterium partial 23S ribosomal RNA". It matches the Rfam family "Bacterial large subunit ribosomal RNA", at positions 1874 to 2925 of the family's 2925-position model. The record is from RNAcentral. Lineage: Bacteria; Bacillati; Chloroflexota.